GUUAAAAAGCUCGUAGUUGGAUUUCUGUGGGGACGGGGCGGCCGGCCGCUACUAGCGGUUCGAGCUAGCGCUUUCCCUACAUCCUGCCGCGAACCGUGCUACCAUUAGUUUGGUGGCGCCGGGGAUCGGCUCGUUUACUUUGAGAAAAAUAGAGUGUUCAAAGCAGGCCACACGCCUUGAAUAAGUUAGCAUGGAAUAAUAACUAAGGACUUCGGUUCUAUUUUGUUGGUGUUCGGGACAGAAGUAAUGAUUGAUAGGGACAGUUGGGGC
This 270-nucleotide ribosomal RNA is filed under the name uncultured marine eukaryote. RNAcentral describes it as "partial 18S ribosomal RNA". It matches the Rfam family "Eukaryotic small subunit ribosomal RNA", at positions 618 to 888 of the family's 1831-position model. The record is from RNAcentral.